This 866-nucleotide ribosomal RNA is filed under the name uncultured Idiomarina sp. Its description in RNAcentral is "bacterial SSU rRNA". It matches the Rfam family "Bacterial small subunit ribosomal RNA", at positions 43 to 900 of the family's 1533-position model. Lineage: Bacteria; Pseudomonadati; Pseudomonadota; Gammaproteobacteria; Alteromonadales; Idiomarinaceae. The record is from RNAcentral.
CAGGCCUAACACAUGCAAGUCGAGCGGUAACAUUUCCAGCUUGCUGGAAGAUGACGAGCGGCGGACGGGUGAGUAAUACUUGGGAACUUACCUCUAGGCGGGGGACAACCACUGGAAACGGUGGCUAAUACCGCAUAAUGUCUACGGACCAAAGUGGGGGACCUUCGGGCCUCACACCUAGAGAUGGGCCCAAGCGGGAUUAGCUUGUUGGUGGGGUAAUGGCUCACCAAGGCGACGAUCUCUAGCUGUUCUGAGAGGAUGAUCAGCCACACUGGGACUGAGACACGGCCCAGGCUCCUACGGGAGGCAGCAGUGGGGAAUAUUGGACAAUGGGGGCAACCCUGAUCCAGCCAUGCCGCGUGUGUGAAGAAGGCCUUCAGGUUGUAAAGCACUUUCAGUGGUGAGGAAAGGGUAAUCGUUAACAGCGAUUACAGUUGACGUUAGCCACAGAAGAAGCACCGGCUAACUCCGUGCCAGCAGCCGCGGUAAUACGGAGGGUGCAAGCGUUAAUCGGAAUUACUGGGCGUAAAGCGUACGUAGGCGGUGUGUUAAGCAAGAUGUGAAAUCCCCGAGCUCAACCUGGGAAUGGCAUUUUGAACUGGCACACUAGAGUCCUGAAGAGGGUGGUAGAAUUUCCAGUGUAGCGGUGAAAUGCGUAGAUAUUGGAAGGAAUACCAGUGGCGAAGGCGGCCACCUGGUCAGAGACUGGCGCUGAGGUACGAAAGCGUGGGUAGCAAACAGGAUUAGAUACCCUGGUAGUCCACGCCGUAAACGAUGUCAACUAGAUGUUCGUGUCUUUAAGACGUGAGUAACGCAGCUAACGCACUAAGUUGACCGCCUGGGGAGUACGGCCGCAAGGUUAAAAC